This 342-nucleotide unclassified non-coding RNA is filed under the name soil metagenome. RNAcentral's name for it is "partial contains 5.8S ribosomal RNA, internal transcribed spacer 2, and large subunit ribosomal RNA". The stretch from base 1 to 120 matches the Rfam family "5.8S ribosomal RNA", at positions 35 to 154 of the family's 154-position model. The record is from RNAcentral.
GAUGAAGAACGUAGCGAAAUGCGAUAAGUAAUGUGAAUUGCAGAAUUCAGUGAAUCAUCGAAUCUUUGAACGCACAUUGCGCCCGCCAGCAUUCUGGCGGGCAUGCCUGUUCGAGCGUCAUUUCAACCCUCGAGCCCCCCCGGGGGCCUCGGUGUUGGGGGACGGCACACCAGCCGCCCCCGAAAUGCAGUGGCGACCCCGCCGCAGCCUCCCCUGCGUAGUAGCACACACCUCGCACCGGAGCGCGGAGGCGGUCACGCCGUAAAACGCCCAACUUUCUUAGAGUUGACCUCGGAUCAGGUAGGAAUACCCGCUGAACUUAAGCAUAUCAAUAAGCGAGGA